This 1381-nucleotide long non-coding RNA is filed under the name Rattus norvegicus (Norway rat). RNAcentral's name for it is "long non-coding RNA NONRATT010717". Lineage: Eukaryota; Metazoa; Chordata; Mammalia; Rodentia; Muridae. The record is from RNAcentral.
UCUUAUCUGCAUGUACACCUGCAUGCCAGAAGAGGGCAUCAGAUCGCAUUAGAUAGUUAUGUGUGGUUGCUGGAAUUGAACUCAGGAGCUCUAGAAGAGCAACUGAUGCUCUUAACCGCUGAGUUAUCUCUUCAGCUCCGUGUUUUGAAGCCUUAAGCUGUUACGUUUUAGCCCUGUCUUUUGCUUUUUGUUUAAAGAUUUAUAAUCAGAGAUAGUGUGAAAAGUACCCAGAGUGCUUUUCCCUUUGACCAGUCAGUGGUGGAUCCGUGACUGGCUGCACUAGGUACAGCACUCUUCUCAGCACACUGGUCUCUUACACUAAGUGCCCUCUCUUGUCAUGUGUGUGCUUGUGGCACUGGGACAGAUGGACGGCAGCGGCAGGAACACCUUUCAGCUACCAGUCAUUGUGGAAAUAAAUAGAGCAUUUCCCACCCGAGUAGAGCUGUUGAUGCCCCCCCCCCCCCCGCACCCCUCCUCCAUACACCCACAUUGGCUUCCUCUUGUCCUUGCCUGUUAGGUUACACAGAAAAAGGAUGGAGUCACUGAAUCAGUCCGUAGCCGCUGUUCUCACAGCAUGUUGUUGUGUGUAUACUUGUAGCCCCGGGAUGCUAAAGAGCUCAGGAAUGGGGGACGUGCUUCCCCAUCCCCGCCCCGAGGCAUGUCUCACCAUUCUGCGGCUUGCAGGCUGUGUCAUGUGUAACUAUGACUGCCUGGCACAUCUAUAGGUGAACUUGUCGGGGUACAGUGUAGAGUUUGGAUCCCUGUUAGCGUGUAAUCGGCUUAGUGAAGAUGUCAGUUGAGGUAGUGGAGACGGGUGCUGAAGGAGUGCCCAGCAGCCCUUUAGAGUCAAGAAUGAAGGACACACACGCCAACCAAUUUUGACAUGCCUUGACUAGCUCAGUGGUUGGGCAUUUCUAAGCCUCCCUGUGGCUAGCACAUUUCCUUCCAGUAUUCCUGGACUAACAACCGUCUGAAUCUGUGUUAUCUUCUGGGCAACCCCCACUGCCCGCCAGGACCCCUUUCCCUUUCCUCCUAUACUGCUGAAUGGUUUUUCUUCUGCAGCUCUUGAAUCUCAUCCCUCUUUCUCUGUCCCUUGCCCUCAUGGUCUAAAAGUCCCACCCCAUCUCCUUGCCCAGCCAUGGCUCUAUGGCAAUUCCUAUCAGUCGAAGGCAGCUGGACCCCUGGGCUGGAAGAGCGGCUUUUGGGAGGCAAAUAAGACAAAGCACUAGAGACCACUCCACGGGUUGGCUGCCCACCCAACACCCCUGUCUCAACCACCCAGCCCUGUCUCAGCUCCUGAAGGUCUGUGACCUAAAUCCUAAAUUGUCACGGUAUAUAAGGAAAUUGAUAAGUCAUGGUUCCUCAUCAGGCCCCAACUAGU